UCUCCUGUAGUUCAGUGGUAGAGCAUCUGACUGGUGUGCGGAAGGUCAUAGGUUUGACUCCUGUCGGAGGAU
This 72-nucleotide transfer RNA is filed under the name Desmophyllum pertusum. Its description in RNAcentral is "Lophelia pertusa tRNA". It matches the Rfam family "tRNA". From Rfam's summary of the family: Transfer RNA (tRNA) molecules are approximately 80 nucleotides in length. Their secondary structure includes four short double-helical elements and three loops (D, anti-codon, and T loops). The record is from Rfam by way of RNAcentral. Lineage: Eukaryota; Metazoa; Cnidaria; Anthozoa; Scleractinia; Caryophylliidae.